Vespula vulgaris is the source of this 2374-nucleotide RNA transcript. It is a transcript of the gene named phosphatidylserine synthase, with no coding region annotated. The transcript is spliced from 7 exons. The record is from RefSeq and is a predicted model, not a curated record. Lineage: Eukaryota; Metazoa; Arthropoda; Insecta; Hymenoptera; Vespidae.
AAAUCAUGAAAUAUCAAAGGAAGUGGGGAGAAUUGUUCCCUACUUUCCUGCGGUAAGGGUCAGUACAAUCUUUAAGGUUAUAUUGAGUUACAUUGUCACCGUUACGGUCGUGUAUCUGUAUUCCCGACAAGGUAUAACAAGCUCAUCAUCUGCCAUCUGUUGUUAAAUAAUAUGAAUCACUUGGAAAUGAUUUUCGUUUGAUGUCGCUAAUGUCAUUUUCCUUCUUUUAUAUAUGCUUAUCUCAUAAGCUAACUAAAUAUUACGUGAAAUUGUGGAUAGAAACAUUGGAGAAUUACGUGUGAGAUGGUCAAAGUACAAGUUUAAAAAACGACCGUUAUUUAUUAAAGAUGAGUUGUAACAAAGAUCGAGACAAUGACAACUUGUUGAAAAAAUUAAGAACCGAAGAAAAUGAGGUUGCAAAAUGCAAAAGUGGCGCAGACAAUAAUGAAGGGCACAAAUUACGACAGGGAACUGAUAGUUUUCCAAAUAUUAAUGAAAGACCAGUCGACGAUAUAUCUAUUGAAUUCUUUUAUAAACCACACACUAUUACGCUACUUCUUAUUUCAAUAGCUGCCGUAAUUUAUUCAGCUUUUACAAGGAAUACCAACAAUGUGGAAGACAACAUGUGGGCUGGCAUGUUGUGCGUUAUCUUUUUCUUCCUUAUUAUAUCAGUGCUUACAUUUCCAAAUGGACCAUUUACAAGACCACAUCCAGUUGUUUGGAGAAUCGUUUUUGGUUGCAGUGUACUUUAUUUGAUGGGUUUACUCUUUAUGUUAUUUCAAAAUUAUGAUACUGUUAGAAAAAUUCUUGUGUGGGUGGAUCCUGGUUUAGCAUCUUUUCACAUAGACAUGGACAAGGAAUAUGGUGUUAAUUGCUCAGACGUUACGAUAGAAAAAAUAUGGAAUCACUUGGAUGUGUUUGCACUUGCUCACUUUUUGGGCUGGGCCUUUAAAGCUAUUCUUAUACGUCAUCUUGGUAUUCUUUGGGCUAUUAGCGUUAUGUGGGAAGUAACAGAAAUAGCAUUCGCGCAUUUACUACCAAAUUUUAUUGAAUGUUGGUGGGAUGCUUUUAUACUUGAUGUUUUGGUAUGUAAUGGCCUUGGAAUUUGGGUUGGAUUAAAGAUAUGUUCUAUCUUGGAAAUGAGAGAGUAUAAAUGGGUCAGUAUAAGGGACAUAGAAAGUACUACUGGCAAAUUAAAAAGAGCAGUUCUUCAAUUUACUCCUGGUAGUUGGACUUCCGUAAGAUGGUUAGAUCCAACGUGCACUCAUAUGCGAUUCGUAGCUCUUUGCCAGCUAGUUAUUUUCUGGCAAGUUUCUGAGCUGAAUACAUUCUUCCUGAAACAUGUAUAUGAAUUCCCACCUUCUCAUCCGUUCGUCAUAACACGAUUGGUAUUGAUUGGAGUGAUCGUUGCUCCAUCAGUUAGGCAAUAUUAUAUGUAUGUAACUGAUCCAUCAUGCAGUAGAGUAGGGACUCAGUGUUGGGUAUAUGGUGCCAUUAUGGUAACAGAGGCAUUACUUUGUAUCCGUCAUGGUGCAGCACUGUUUGAACGGACACAAGCCUUAAACAUACUCCUUUGGCUUCUUUGUCAGUCUCUAGUUUCUGUGUUAUGCGUCUAUGGCUGUGUUUUGUGGCAUCAGUACUUUGAGACGGAUAAGAAAACUGUUAAAAAGCAAUCUGUGAUCAAACUACACGAGAGCCGCUUGGAUGUAACUUGUAGUGGGGAUAUGGCACACCACACACAAUCUGUGGAUUCGAUGGAUAAAAAAGGACAGUGAAACGGUACCUUGUAAUAAUUAACCAAAUUAAUGGUUAAUUUAUCAUACUAUGCAACUUUCUAGUCGUUCAGAAGCGUACGAAUGAAUUUGUAAGCUUAGCAAAAUAGGACUGGAUGUAUAUUUCGAAAUCUUUUGAUUCUUCGAGAUAUGGAAAGACAUCACAAGUACUACUGGGGACAAUUUGUGAUCCUUCAGAACAAUUCCAUGUUUCGCCCAGUAAGUUAUUGUUAGAUGCAGAAACGAAGACACGGAUACGGCUAGGUAAUUCUUCAUUUUCAUGAAGAGAGAUAUAAGAUGUUGUCAAUAACGAUUUCGUACAAUACAUCUGUAAAAUCCAUUAUAAAUAUUUUUGGAUUUCAGAGAAUAUUGCUGUUAUAGCAGCUCUAUUUUGAGAAAGAGAUAAUAAUUAGCAAUAAUUUAAAUUUAACUGUGAAAAGGUACCUGAGCAUAAGUAAGGUAGAAUGAUUGAUUUAUAUUUGGUUUUAGCCACGGAAGAUAAUGUUUUGAAAACGGUUGUAGCCUCUCAAAAGUAUCAUAUGUUAAUCUAAGUCCCAUGAUUUCGGAUAAACGUUCGUUUAAUGUCAAUUCUGAAAUCUAAA